This 443-nucleotide ribosomal RNA is filed under the name uncultured bacterium. RNAcentral describes it as "bacterial SSU rRNA". It matches the Rfam family "Bacterial small subunit ribosomal RNA", at positions 958 to 1399 of the family's 1533-position model. The record is from RNAcentral.
AACGCGAAGAACCUUACCUGGGCUCGAACGGCUUCAGACCGUCGUGGAAACACGAUCUUCCCCUUAAAAGGACUGGAGUCGAGGUGCUGCAUGGCUGUCGUCAGCUCGUGUCGUGAGAUGUUGGGUUAAGUCCCGCAACGAGCGCAACCCUUGUCCUGUGUUGCCAUCAUUCAGUUGGGCACUCUCGGGAGACCGCCAGCGAUAAGUUGGAGGAAGGUGGGGAUGAUGUCAAGUCAUCAUGGCCUUUAUGUCCAGGGCUACACACGUGCUACAAUGGACGGUACAAACCGCUGCAAACCCGCGAGGGAGAGCUAAUCGGAAAAAACCGUUCUCAGUUCGGAUCGCAGGCUGCAACUCGCCUGCGUGAAGCUGGAAUCGCUAGUAAUGCCGUAUCAGAACGACGGCGUGAAUACGUUCCCGGGCCUUGUACACACCGACUGUAC